This 421-nucleotide ribosomal RNA is filed under the name uncultured bacterium. RNAcentral describes it as "bacterial SSU rRNA". It matches the Rfam family "Bacterial small subunit ribosomal RNA", at positions 355 to 774 of the family's 1533-position model. The record is from RNAcentral.
UAAGGAAUAUUGGUCAAUGGACGCAAGUCUGAACCAGCCAUGCCGCGUGAAGGAUGAAGGUCCUCUGGAUUGUAAACUUCUUUUAUCUGGGACGAAAACGGGAUUUUUAUCUCAAUUGACGGUACCAGAGGAAUAAGCACCAGCUAACUCCGUGCCAGCAGCCGCGGUAAUACGGAGGGUGCGAGCGUUAUCCGGAAUUAUUGGGUUUAAAGGGUGCGUAGGCGGACUAAUAAGUCAGUGGUGAAAGCCUGCAGCUUAACUGCAGAAUGGCCAUUGAUACUGUUAGUCUUGAGUACAGUUGAGGUAGGCGGAAUGUGUCAUGUAGCGGUGAAAUGCUUAGAUAUGACACAGAACACCGAUUGCGAAGGCAGCUUGCUAAGCUGUAACUGACGCUGAGGCACGAAAGCGUGGGGAGCAAACA